AUGGUGAAAGGGGCGUCAGGUUUAUGCUUACUGGUUGGAGGCGCCAUCCAGCGCAUCAUGGAGAGGCAAGAGCCGGGGAUGGGCGCUGGGCCGCAAGGAGAUGUAGAAAACCCAUCUUCUGUUCCGAGGCUAGUGGUCGUCAGCUCACUUGAAGAGCUGGAGGAAGUAUUGAGUGAGUGGAAGGCAUCGAUCACAGCGCUAUCUAUUGACGUGAGUCAAGACAUGCCCUUCACCAUGGCGAACGAGUGCUUUGAGCGGCUUGAAUUGGAUGGCUUGCAAGCUCAGAAUAUGAUCCAAGCAGGCCAAUGUAUGAAGCUAAAGCGUGCUGAGUACCUGCGUGCCCAGGCGCAGGAGGAUGCUGGGGACAUGAGCCACAGCGGAGCACCAGUGGCCCCGGGGUCAUGA
RNAcentral lists this ribosomal RNA (405 nucleotides) under Triticum aestivum (bread wheat). RNAcentral's name for it is "partial small subunit ribosomal RNA". The record is from RNAcentral. Lineage: Eukaryota; Viridiplantae; Streptophyta; Magnoliopsida; Poales; Poaceae.